UUACCCAAUCUGAACAAUGGAGAAAAAGAAAUACUUAAAAAAUAAAUGAAUAAGCAGAACCUGUGGCUAUGCCUGUGGGAUAGAUUAAAGUUACCAUGAUCUGAAGAGGAAAGAUUUUCAUGUGUUCUCCUAUAUAAAAUAGCUAAACAGAAAAAG
Sciurus carolinensis (gray squirrel) is the source of this 156-nucleotide small nucleolar RNA. RefSeq annotates it as small nucleolar RNA SNORA29. The record is from RefSeq and is a predicted model, not a curated record. The transcript has a single exon. Lineage: Eukaryota; Metazoa; Chordata; Mammalia; Rodentia; Sciuridae.